This 253-nucleotide ribosomal RNA is filed under the name uncultured bacterium. Its description in RNAcentral is "partial 16S ribosomal RNA". It matches the Rfam family "Bacterial small subunit ribosomal RNA", at positions 524 to 776 of the family's 1533-position model. The record is from RNAcentral.
UACAGAGGUCUCAAGCGUUGUUCGGAAUCACUGGGCGUAAAGCGUGCGUAGGCUGUUUCGUAAGUCGUGUGUGAAAGGCGCGGGCUCAACCCGCGGACGGCGCAUGAUACUGCGAGACUAGAGUAAUGGAGGGGGAACCGGAAUUCUCGGUGUAGCAGUGAAAUGCGUAGAUAUCGAGAGGAACACUCGUGGCGAAGGCGGGUUCCUGGACAUUAACUGACGCUGAGGCACGAAGGCCAGGGGAGCGAAAGGG